RNAcentral lists this unclassified non-coding RNA (80 nucleotides) under Sphingomonas jatrophae. Its description in RNAcentral is "suhB". The record is from RNAcentral. Lineage: Bacteria; Pseudomonadati; Pseudomonadota; Alphaproteobacteria; Sphingomonadales; Sphingomonadaceae.
CAUUAGCGCGCUUCGGCGCGCUCCUCCCUGAACCUUGGCCACUCCGUGCGUAUGCACGGGGUGGCUUUUUUCUGUGCGGC